Molecule: ribosomal RNA, 465 nt
Filed under: uncultured bacterium
Lineage: Bacteria
Description: partial 16S ribosomal RNA
Rfam family: Bacterial small subunit ribosomal RNA
Source: RNAcentral
CUACGGGCCGCAGCAGUGAGGAAUUUUGCGCAAUGGGCGAAAGCCUGACGCAGCAACGCCGCGUGAGUGAUGAAGGCCUUCGGGUCGUAAAGCUCUGUCAAGUGGGAAGAACCUAUGUAAUGUUAAUAUCAUUAUAUACUGACGGUACCACUGAAGGAAGCACCGGCUAACUCCGUGCCAGCAGCCGCGGUAAUACGGGGGGUGCAAGCGUUAUUCGGAAUCAUUGGGCGUAAAGGGCACGUAGGCGGCCUGGUAAGUCAGAUGUGAAAGCCCGGGGCUUAACCCCGGAAGUGCAUUUGAUACUGUCAGGCUUGAGUAUGGGAGAGGGAAGUGGAAUUCCUGGUGUAGAGGUGAAAUUCGUAGAUAUCAGGAGGAACACCGGUGGCGAAGGCGACUUCCUGGACCAAUACUGACGCUGAGGUGCGAAGGCGUGGGUAGCAAACAGGAUUAGAUACCCUCGUAGUC